RNAcentral lists this ribosomal RNA (468 nucleotides) under uncultured bacterium. Its description in RNAcentral is "partial 16S ribosomal RNA". It matches the Rfam family "Bacterial small subunit ribosomal RNA", at positions 28 to 507 of the family's 1533-position model. The record is from RNAcentral.
GACGAACGCUGGCGGCGUGCUUAACACAUGCAAGUCGAACGGAAAGGCCCUGCUUUUGUGGGGUGCUCGAGUGGCGAACGGGUGAGUAACACGUGAGUAACCUGCCCUUGACUUUGGGAUAACUUCAGGAAACUGGGGCUAAUACCGGAUAGGAGCUCCUGCUGCAUGGUGGGGGUUGGAAAGUUUCGGCGGUUGGGGAUGGACUCGCGGCUUAUCAGCUUGUUGGUGGGGUAGUGGCUUACCAAGGCUUUGACGGGUAGCCGGCCUGAGAGGGUGACCGGCCACAUUGGGACUGAGAUACGGCCCAGACUCCUACGGGAGGCAGCAGUGGGGAAUAGUGCACAAUGGGCGGAAGCCUGAUGCAGCAACGCCGCGUGCGGGAUGACGGCCUUCGGGUUGUAGACCGCUUUCGCCUGGGACGAAGCGUGAGUGACGGUAAUGGGUAAAGAAGCACCGGCUAACUACGUG